GGCUAUGUUUUGCUCCUACGUGCUUGCUUUCAGGCUGUGGUUUCACAAGUAGCUGAGUUGAUUGGAUGGCUCCGUUCCUCUGAAAUGAAAUCUUACCUCAUCUUCCUCCUCUUGCCCUUCAUGUUCCCCCACACAAUACCCUUUACGCCCACCUCCUUCCACCAGUAAUCUGCCAGUGCCUGUGCUGCACGUAUGUAUGACCCAUGCAUGAGCCAAUUCAACUCUCCAAUCCAGCAGAAAACUAUCUGAGUUUUUCUGGAUUAUUUUUCUGCUAAGUUGGUGAGUUAUGUCAGUUCAGAGAGAUAUAUGGACCAGCAUCAGAGUAAACGGUGGGACUGCGAGGCCAAAAACAGCAAGGGAGAGGGAUUUGGGGAUGGACGCCUCACCACUUUUGCAAAGAGUGAAUAGUGUCUGUGCAGGGAAGACAAAGCCAGGCCAGAAGCACUGCGCCUACUGGAUGGACCCACACUCUGUGAGACCCCACUAUUACAGGUUCUCUCCAGUCCUGUGUCUCAGGAUACAGCCUCUCACGCACUGAUGUGCAGCAGGAGUCAGAGGCUGCACCCCAACAUGCCUGUUUGAAGCAUCACGCGGUAUCUUCAGGUGAAGUUUCAGGUUGCACGGAAUUUUGGACAACUGCAUGUGUCUGCCAGAGCAGCACCCCCAUUGCUUACGGGCAUCCUGGAAAGACAGAGAAGGAGCAGCAACAUAAAUUUAGAGGGGCCGUGAAACCAUACUGGUAACAGAGGGUGGGAUCCAUUACUUGUACCAUAGCAGUAGUCAGAGGUAUCCCUACUUGUGCAUUUGAGAUAAAAUACGUUUUUAAGAUGCCUGGACAUUCAAUGUCCUUUCUACUCAAUUUACAGACUCAUAGAAUAGCCCACCCUGUUUUGCGUUUUCUUUAAAACAUCCAUAAAUUCAGUAAGAUCACCUGGCUUAAUAAAAACAAGGAAAGAUUUUCCCAGGAAUGCUGCGUCAUGAGGGAGGUUUCUUUUGUGAUAUGGUAAUUCUAGUAAAGCAGAGCAGUAGGUGAGGGUUCCUUGCCUCUGACUUCUUGGCAUCAUACAGCACAAAUUUUCUGGUAUUGCUUACAAUCUGAAAAAAAAAAAAAAGACAAAAAACGAGAAGUUGAAACCAUGGGUUAUAAUGACAGCAAAAUUUGGAGUUGGCUGCAGCAUACUGCUUGUUAAAUAUUGUUGUCCGUGGGCCAAAGAGAGUUAGGUAUCUGGCAAUAAUUUAUACCUGUUUUAAAACUUCCUUCAAGAAAAUUUACUAAAUGACUGCCUUCUCAAAUCCUAAAUGGAUUUGUGGAAAAAUGUUUACUCCCCAGAAAGCCUCAUUUUUUAGCUUAUUAUAGAGACAAAAAUCAAUAACAUGUAAUCUCUCAACAAGGUUUUUCUGUUCAGGAUUAUUUAAAGCUAUAGAGCUAACAAACAGCUUCCUUUAUAUUUCUGAGGUUGGUUAGUGGGGUAAUGUUAUGAUUAUGAGGAUGAAACCCUGAAGAAGCUGAAAGUAACUUAAGAAAUGUUUCCUAGUUUCUCAGGAAAUCCCUGUGGUUGGUUGUUACGAAAUUCUCUGCAUCCAACAUAAUGCAGCAUUGGCUGGACCAGCACAGGGUAAAACAAGCUGUGGCGUGGUGACUACCUAUUCGCUAUUUGUUCGGGAUGGUGCAGACACUGCAACGGGGAAAUAAAUUAUACAAGAAAAAUAAACGUAAUGGUAAUUUCUAAGGAAAUGCCAAGAUUUAGAGAGAAAACAGUAGUCUCAGUGUAGGAAAGAUUCUCAGCUCUCUCCUCUGGGAAAGUUUAGACAAAAAAAUAAUAAUAAUCUGUCUUCCUGCCUGUGACUUCAUUCUCUAGUUACUGAAGUAAAAAGCAAUAUUCCCAUUGACUGAAGUUGUGCAAUUAUGUGUCUUGACUGCCUUCGAGAUAAAUCAUCAAUCUUCACUCUGCUAAAAUAGGAACUUAUGAUCCCCUUUCAAGAUUAUUAAUAUUUAUACAGCAAAAAAUACCUGGCCAUUUCUGGAAGCAACAGGGAAGACUACAAAGGUUUUGGACAAAAUGUAUCAUGCAAAUGAUUUGACAAGAAGCCAUCAUCAGUCAAAGGCAUGGGUCAAUGAUUUUACAUAUGUACCUCGCCAGCAGCUAGUUUUCCUUCAGUCUUAAUAAUUCAUAGCACAAAAGAAAUUAGAUUCCUAAAUAAUACUGCCCCUUCUAAAUGGAAACAAUUUAAAAAAUAGGUUAAAACAUUAAACUUUAUGAACAAUAGAUUCCCAGAUAUAGAUUUUACAUGGAAAUGUAAUAUUUAACUGGCAAAGCUGAGGCCUCUUGUAUAUUGGUGAAUGUCUGUACCGGCAUGCAGCUUGUCACAGAAGCAAGAUCCUAAUAUGAAAAUAGUGGAUCAUUUCCGUUGCCUUUUCUCUAGUAAGACUGUCAUUUGCUUUCAAUAAAAGAUUGUCUGAGUGAAGACAAUAGAAGCAGGUCCCGUACUUGAGAAGCAAGAACAAACACAAGUAAAUAGGAACCAGGAAUGAAGGAGAAGGAGCCAAAAAUAAAUAAACCAGAGGAAAAAGAGCAAGAGAAAUAGGCAGUUUAAUGAGACUGGGAGUGUGGAGAUUAAGUCAAUUUUCAUGCUAGUUUUAAAGCCAAAUUAUAAAGAAAGCAACAACUCAUAUAAAAAAAAUAUGGGUAGACAUGUUUUGGCACAGCGUGCUUUCCUCAGUACACAUGGGGGCUAUCACCUUGUUUUGUUUUGUUUUAGAAGGCCUAAAGAGAUGCUCUUAAGUGUGAAAACAUGUUUGA
Long non-coding RNA from Cygnus olor (mute swan), 2801 nucleotides. RefSeq lists it as uncharacterized. The transcript has 4 exons. The record is from RefSeq and is a predicted model, not a curated record. NCBI's taxonomy places the organism in Eukaryota, Metazoa, Chordata, Aves, Anseriformes, Anatidae.